AGCCAGCCAGGCAAGAAAGUCCCUGAGACUCUUAUCUCCAAUAAACCACUAGAAAACCGGAAGUGGGAUGAUGGCCAGUCCUGGUGUCUGAGUGAUU
RNAcentral lists this small nucleolar RNA (97 nucleotides) under Dipodomys ordii (Ord's kangaroo rat). Its description in RNAcentral is "Small nucleolar RNA SNORD86 (ENSDORG00000023030.2)". Lineage: Eukaryota; Metazoa; Chordata; Mammalia; Rodentia; Heteromyidae. The record is from RNAcentral.